GCCGACGUAGCUCAUUCGGUUAGAGCGGUUCACUCAUAAUGAACAGGUAGUAGGUUCGAGUCCUAUCGUCGGCA
This 74-nucleotide transfer RNA is filed under the name Chloroflexota bacterium. Its description in RNAcentral is "Chloroflexi bacterium (hot springs metagenome) tRNA-Met". It matches the Rfam family "tRNA". From Rfam's summary of the family: Transfer RNA (tRNA) molecules are approximately 80 nucleotides in length. Their secondary structure includes four short double-helical elements and three loops (D, anti-codon, and T loops). Lineage: Bacteria; Bacillati; Chloroflexota. The record is from RNAcentral.